GCCAUGGAGCUGCUACACAUGCAGUCGAGCGGUAGCACAGAGAGCUUGCUCUCGGGUGACGAGCGGCGGACGGGUGAGUAAUGUCUGGGAAACUGCCUGAUGGAGGGGGAUAACUACUGGAAACGGUAGCUAAUACCGCAUAACGUCGCAAGACCAAAGUGGGGGACCUUCGGGCCUCAUGCCAUCAGAUGUGCCCAGAUGGGAUUAGCUAGUAGGUGGGGUAACGGCUCACCUAGGCGACGAUCCCUAGCUGGUCUGAGAGGAUGACCAGCCACACUGGAACUGAGACACGGUCCAGACUCCUACGGGAGGCAGCAGUGGGGAAUAUUGCACAAUGGGCGCAAGCCUGAUGCAGCCAUGCCGCGUGUAUGAAGAAGGCCUUCGGGUUGUAAAGUACUUUCAGCGGGGAGGAAGGCGAUAAGGUUAAUAACCUUGUCGAUUGACGUUACCCGCAGAAGAAGCACCGGCUAACUCCGUGCCAGCAGCCGCGGUAAUACGGAGGGUGCAAGCGUUAAUCGGAAUUACUGGGCGUAAAGCGCACGCAGGCGGUCUGUCAAGUCGGAUGUGAAAUCCCCGGGCUCAACCUGGGAACUGCAUUCGAAACUGGCAGGCUAGAGUCUUGUAGAGGGGGGUAGAAUUCCAGGUGUAGCGGUGAAAUGCGUAGAGAUCUGGAGGAAUACCGGUGGCGAAGGCGGCCCCCUGGACAAAGACUGACGCUCAGGUGCGAAAGCGUGGGGAGCAAACAGGAUUAGAUACCCUGGUAGUCCACGCCGUAAACGAUGUCGAUUUGGAGGUUGUGCCCUUGAGGCGUGGCUUCCGGAGCUAACGCGUUAAAUCGACCGCCUGGGGAGUACGGCCGCAAGGUUAAAACUCAAAUGAAUUGACGGGGGCCCGCACAAGCGGUGGAGCAUGUGGUUUAAUUCGAUGCAACGCGAAGAACCUUACCUGGUCUUGACAUCCACAGAACUUGCCAGAGAUGGCUUGGUGCCUUCGGGAACUGUGAGACAGGUGCUGCAUGGCUGUCGUCAGCUCGUGUUGUGAAAUGUUGGGGUUAAGUCCCGCAACGAGCGCAACCCUUAUCCCUUUGUUGCCAGCGGGUUAGGCCGGGAACUCAAGGAUACUGCCCAGUGAUAAACUGGAGAGUGGGGAUGACGUCAGUCAUCAUGGGCCCUACCAACAGGGCUACCCACGUGCCUACAUUGCCCAUACAAGAGAGCGAACCUCGGAGAAGCAAGCG
RNAcentral lists this ribosomal RNA (1237 nucleotides) under Klebsiella pneumoniae. Its description in RNAcentral is "bacterial SSU rRNA". It matches the Rfam family "Bacterial small subunit ribosomal RNA", at positions 39 to 1269 of the family's 1533-position model. Lineage: Bacteria; Pseudomonadati; Pseudomonadota; Gammaproteobacteria; Enterobacterales; Enterobacteriaceae. The record is from RNAcentral.